AACGAACGCUGGCGGCAGGCUUAACACAUGCAAGUCGAACGCAUCCAUCGGGGUGAGUGGCAGACGGGUGAGUAACGCGAGGGAACGUGCCCUUCAGUUCGGGAUAACCCAGGGAAACUUGGGCUAAUACCGGAUACGUGCGAGAGCAGAAAGAUUUAUCGCUGAAGGAUCGGCCCGCGUCUGAUGAGCUAGUUGGUGGGGUAAUGGCCCACCAAGGCGACGAUCAGUAGCUGGUCUGAGAGGAUGAUCAGCCACAUUGGGACUGAGACACGGCCCAAACUCCUACGGGAGGCAGCAGUGGGGAAUAUUGGACAAUGGGCGCAAGCCUGAUCCAGCCAUGCCGCGUGAGUGAUGAAGGCCUUAGGGUUGUAAAGCUCUUUCGUCCGGGACGAUAAUGACGGUACCGGAAGAAGAAGCCCCGGCUAACUUCGUGCCAGCCGCCGCGGUAA
RNAcentral lists this ribosomal RNA (449 nucleotides) under uncultured bacterium. RNAcentral's name for it is "partial 16S ribosomal RNA". It matches the Rfam family "Bacterial small subunit ribosomal RNA", at positions 29 to 523 of the family's 1533-position model. The record is from RNAcentral.